Molecule: ribosomal RNA, 110 nt
Filed under: uncultured bacterium
Lineage: Bacteria
Description: partial 16S ribosomal RNA
Rfam family: Bacterial small subunit ribosomal RNA
Source: RNAcentral
CCCGUUGUACACACCGCCCGUCACACCAUGGGAGUUGGUUUUACCUGAACGCCGGUGCGCUAACCCGCAAGGGAGGCAGCCGACCACGGUAGGGUCGAGCGACUGGGGUG